CAACCCUCAAGCGCGGCUUGUGUGAUGGGCGCGCGUCCCCCCCGAACUGGGCGGGACGGGCCCGAAAGGCAGUGGCGGCGUCGCGGUCAUCCUCGAUCGCCCGAGUGCAUGGGGCUCAGUCACGCACGACGGCGAGGACCGGCGCCGGCCGAACCCCGCGACACCCCGUGUGUCGCUCUUCGAC
This 184-nucleotide unclassified non-coding RNA is filed under the name Malbranchea cinnamomea. Its description in RNAcentral is "partial internal transcribed spacer 2". The record is from RNAcentral. Lineage: Eukaryota; Fungi; Ascomycota; Eurotiomycetes; Onygenales; Malbrancheaceae.